AAUAGAUACCCUGGUAGUCCACGCCCUAAACGAUGCGAACUGGAUGUUGGGUUCAACUUGGAACCCAGUAUCGAAGCUAACGCGUUAAGUUCGCCGCCUGGGGAGUACGGUCGCAAGACUGAAACUCAAAGGAAUUGACGGGGGCCCGCACAAGCGGUGGAGUAUGUGGUUUAAUUCGAUGCAACGCGAAGAACCUUACCUGGCCUUGACAUCCACGGAACUUUCCAGAGAUGGAUUGGUGCCUUCGGGAACCGUGAGACAGGUGCUGCAUGGCUGUCGUCAGCUCGUGUCGUGAGAUGUUGGGUUAAGUCCCGCAACGAGCGCAACCCUUGUCCUUAGUUGCCAGCACGUAAUGGUGGGAACUCUAAGGAGACCGCGGUGACAAACCGGAGGAAGGUGGGAUGACGUCAAGUCAUCAUGGCCCUUACGACCAGGGCUACACACGUACUACAAUGGUGGGGACAGAGGGCUGCAAUCCCGCGAGGGUGAGCCAAUCCCGAGAAACCCCAUCUCAGUCCGGAUCGGAGUCUGCAACUCGACUCCG
RNAcentral lists this ribosomal RNA (544 nucleotides) under uncultured bacterium. Its description in RNAcentral is "bacterial SSU rRNA". It matches the Rfam family "Bacterial small subunit ribosomal RNA", at positions 777 to 1320 of the family's 1533-position model. The record is from RNAcentral.